This 458-nucleotide ribosomal RNA is filed under the name uncultured bacterium. RNAcentral describes it as "partial 16S ribosomal RNA". It matches the Rfam family "Bacterial small subunit ribosomal RNA", at positions 338 to 795 of the family's 1533-position model. The record is from RNAcentral.
CCUACGGGGUGCAGCAGUGAGGAAUAUUGGUCAAUGGGCGAGAGCCUGAACCAGCCAAGUCGCGUGAGGGAGUACUGCCCUAUGGGUUGUAAACCUCUUUUGUCGGGGAGCAAAAGCCGGACGUGUCCGGCUGUGAGAGUACCCGAAGAAAAAGCAUCGGCUAACUCCGUGCCAGCAGCCGCGGUAAUACGGAGGAUGCGAGCGUUAUCCGGAUUUAUUGGGUUUAACGGGUGCGCAGGCGGAUUUUUAAGUCAGCGGUCAAAUCGUGGGGCUCAACCCCAUCCAGCCGUUGAAACUGGGGAUCUAGAGUGCGGGAGGGGCAGGCGGAAUUCCUAGUGUAGCGGUGAAAUGCGUAGAUAUUAGGAGGAACACCGGCGGCGAAGGCGGCCUGCUGGACCGUAACUGACGUUGAGGCUCGAAAGCGUGGGGAGCAAACAGGAUUAGAUACCCCGGUAGUC